RNAcentral lists this ribosomal RNA (1046 nucleotides) under uncultured bacterium. RNAcentral describes it as "bacterial SSU rRNA". It matches the Rfam family "Bacterial small subunit ribosomal RNA", at positions 338 to 1377 of the family's 1533-position model. The record is from RNAcentral.
CCUACGGGAGGCAGCAGUGAGGAAUUUUGCGCAAUGGACGAAAGUCUGACGCAGCGACGCCGCGUGGGCGACGAAGCUCUUUGGAGUGUAAAGCCCUGUCAGGUGGGACGAAUCCCGAGGAGGUGAACAAUCUCUUCGGCAGACGGUACCACCAGAGGAAGCCCCGGCUAACUCCGUGCCAGCAGCCGCGGUAAUACGGAGGGGGCAAGCGUUGUUCGGAAUCACUGGGUGUAAAGGGUGCGUAGGCGGUCCGCUAAGUCUGAUGUGAAAGCCCUGGGCUCAACUCAGGAAUUGCAUUGGAAACUGGCGGGCUUUUGAGUACCGGAGAGGGAAGCGGAAUUCCUGGUGUAGCGGUGAAAUGCGUAGAUACCAGGAGGAACACCGGUGGCGAAGGCGGUUUCCUGGCCGAGUACUGACGCUGAGGCACGAAAGCGUGGGGAGCGAACGGGAUUAGAUACCCCGGUAGUCCACGCUGUAAACGAUGGGUGCUAGGUGUUGGAGGUAUCGACCCCUUCAGUGCCGUAGCUAACGCAUUAAGCACCCCACCUGGGGAGUACGUUCGCAAGAAUGAAACUCAAAGGAAUUGACGGGGGCCCGCACAAGCAGCGGAGCAUGUGGUUUAAUUCGACGCGACGCGAAGAACCUUACCUAGGCUUGACAUGCACUGGAAAGCCGUAGAAAUACGGCCUCCCUUCGGGGCCAGUGCACAGGUGGUGCAUGGCUGUCGUCAGCUCGUGUCGUGAGAUGUUGGGUUAAGUCCCGCAACGAGCGCAACCCUCGUCCUAUGUUGCCAGCGGAUAAUGCCGGGGACUCAUAGGAGACUGCCGGGGUCAACUCGGAGGAGGUGGGGAUGACGUCAAGUCAUCAUGCCUCUUAAGUCCAGGCUUCACGCAUGCUACAAUGGCUGGUACAAAGGGCUGCAAACCGCAAGGUCGAGCGAAUCCCAAAAGCAGUCUUCAGUUUCGGAUUGGGGUCUGCAACUCGACCCAUGAGUCGAGUCGCUAGUAUCGCAGAUCAGCAACGCCGCCGGGUGAAUACGUUUCCGG